This 497-nucleotide ribosomal RNA is filed under the name uncultured bacterium. Its description in RNAcentral is "partial 16S ribosomal RNA". It matches the Rfam family "Bacterial small subunit ribosomal RNA", at positions 28 to 507 of the family's 1533-position model. The record is from RNAcentral.
GAUGAACGCUGGCGGCGUGCCUAAUACAUGCAAGUCGAGCGAACGGACGAGAAUCUUGCUUCUCUGAUGUUUGCGGCGGACGGGUGUGUAACACGUGUAUAACCUCCCUAUAAGACUGGGAUAACUUCGGGACACCGGCUCUAAUACCGUAUAAUCUUUUGAACCGCAUGGUUCAAAAGUGAAAGACGGUCUUUCUGUCACUUAUCGAUGGAUCCGCGCUGCAUUGGAUAGUUGGUAAGGUAACGGCUUACCAAGGCAACGAUGCAUAGACGACGUGAGAGAGUGAUAGGCCACAUGAGAGCGGGAACGCGGACAAGACGACUAAGGGAGGCAGCAGAAGGGAACCGGACGCAAUGGGCGAAAGUAUGACGGAGCGAGGGCGCGUGAGAGAUGAAGGUGUUCGGAGCGUAAAAAUGGGUUAUGAGGGAAGAACAGAUGUGGAAGGUAAUGUGCACAGAUUGACGGUAACGAAUAAGAAAGCAACGGCUAACUACGUG